GGGGAGAGCCAGCAGAGAGGGAGCCAGCGAGCGGGCGCCGCGCCUCCUGGCUGGCACCGCGGCCUGGAGCGAAGUGGCGCGCGGGGCUCAGAGGGAACUUCUGCCGGCGCGUGCGGCCCCGGGCUCCGCGGCGCCUCCGGGCCCGGGCGGGGCGAGCCUCUCGGCAGCCACAGGUGGUUCCUGCCAAAAGUUUUUGCUGUACUUCUGCUGGGAAGGAGUGCUGGAGAGCAUUUUGGGCAGUGGCGGUCUUCUGUUACUUGGACACCCUAACCUCGCGCUAUCUUUUCUUGGACAUUGAGAAAGGGGCUGUCAAAGGUGGAGGGGAAUCCGGCACUUCUCAAUGAGGACCGAGGGUUGCCUGGCGGCCCGGAUCCAGGGGACGCUCAGAAGAGCAUCUCAGCUGCGGGCACCUGGGCAGGUUGAGAUAAAUGGGCGCACGAAGGAACGUAUUACCUCCGGGCCUUGAUAAAGCUAAGCAUAGCCCUCCCGGGAACCUGUCAUCCCCGCUGGGCGACGGGAGAUCUCUUCCUAGUGACACUCGCGGUGGAGAUCUCUUUCUAGCGACAGACACGGAAACCCUGUGCGCGUCUUUGCUCGCCUGAGUGCGCGUCUCUUGCUGGGUUGACAGCGAAUCGUCUCUGAUCUCUACGAGGCUUUGUUAUUCGCGCUGUUGGUUUGGUUUCACCAGGAAGAAGGCCGGUAGCAGCCCCGAAGGAAUCGCCCAGCUCCCUCACCUUUCGUGUCUUCAUAGCUGUGGAGACAAGCACUCAAUCAAGCGUCAGGUCCACAGCUCAAGGCCGAAGCAGCUGUGGUCCGUGGCUUGUGCUAUCAUUACAAAGCUAGGGCUGGGGGCUUGGGGGCUUCUGGGACAGAGAGGAGAGCGGAACCGGGAUGAGAUAAAACACUUAAAAGAGGACGUGUUGUGUCCAGCUUUGAGAGAGAAAGUGUGAGGUUCUGUGCAUUGGCUCCGUGUUGGCCGGCUAACUAUCCAGGGCAGCCAGGUAGAACCACCAGGGUAGGUCAGGCUUAGACUGAAAGGAACCAUUAUUCCCAGAGAGGGUCUGAUACCUGGGUGUUGCAAGUAGGUACAAAACCGCGGUGAGUUGGAAACACUCAGUCCUUCAUUCUCCUUGGUCCUAGUCACACUCUGGAUUCCCUUGCUGUACCCACAAAGCAGGGAAGGGCUCUCUGCUUUAAAGGAGGCCACAAGAUUUGGAGAAAGAAACUCUAGGCGUGAGGAGAACUCAUUCUACGAUGAGCAAUCCUAAGACCAAGGAAGGGAGUGACCUACCACAGUGGUAAUGGAGCAUGGAAAGUAGAAAUGACAGCAGCCCAGGCCGGCUUGGACAGAAGUCCCUGGGGCAAGGCCUUGUGGGCUUGUCUACAGACAAGCUACUCCCAGACCCUGAGCUCAUUAUGGGCUUAUUAUCUGCUACUUUGUACAUUCCUGUUUUCCAUCGAAGAUACUCCAUUUCCUGUCCCCUGUCCUUGACCCAACAGGACCAGGACAGCCACUGCAAAGUCCAGUGUGACGUGGUCCCAACUUUUCCUGUACCCUCGUUGUCCCAAAUCCCCCAGAUUCCUUGGGCAACAUAAUGCGGCUUGAUUAGCCAAGACGAGCCUCCAGCUUGUCACGCUGAAGCACCCACUUUCUCUUGGAUGCCAGAACUGUUUUCCUGGUAAUUAGGUUUUACAGAUAUUUUUGAAAGGGAGCCCAAUUUUGGAUCAAUUACACUUGGACACACAUUCAGUGCUGUUGUGGAUAGCAAACGAGAGAGAUGAGCAAUUAUCUGGGGGUGUUGGAAUGAGUGUUGUUAUGGGUAUUUGACAUAACUAUUAAGCAUCAAUGAAUGGGUUCUCAGUAAAUGUUUUUUUUUUACUCUGUAUUUUAUUGAGUAAACAAGUGUCUUAAUU
This 1914-nucleotide long non-coding RNA is filed under the name Mus musculus (house mouse). Its description in RNAcentral is "long non-coding RNA chr18:75820665-75822579". The record is from RNAcentral. Lineage: Eukaryota; Metazoa; Chordata; Mammalia; Rodentia; Muridae.